GACGAACGCUGGCGGCGUGCUUAACACAUGCCAGUCGAACGGAAAGGCCCUGCUUUUGUGGGGUGCUCGAGUGGCGAACGGGUGAGUAACACGUGAGUAACCUGCCCUUGACUUUGGGAUAACUUCAGGAAACUGGGGCUAAUACCGGAUAGGAGCUCCUGCUGCAUGGUGGGGGUUGGAAAGUUUCGGCGGUUGGGGAUGGACUCGCGGCUUAUCAGCUUGUUGGUGGGGUAGUGGCUUACCAAGGCUUUGACGGGUAGCCGGCCUGAGAGGGUGACCGGCCACAUUGGGACUGAGAUACGGCCCAGACUCCUACGGGAGGCAGCAGUGGGGAAUAUUGCACAAUGGGCGGAAGCCUGAUGCAGCAACGCCGCGUGCGGGAUGACGGCCUUCGGGUUGGAAACCGCUUUCGCCUGUGACGAAGCGUGAGUGACGGUAAUGGGUAAAGAAGCACCGGCUAACUACGUGC
This 469-nucleotide ribosomal RNA is filed under the name uncultured bacterium. RNAcentral describes it as "partial 16S ribosomal RNA". It matches the Rfam family "Bacterial small subunit ribosomal RNA", at positions 28 to 508 of the family's 1533-position model. The record is from RNAcentral.